RNAcentral lists this ribosomal RNA (393 nucleotides) under uncultured bacterium. RNAcentral describes it as "bacterial SSU rRNA". It matches the Rfam family "Bacterial small subunit ribosomal RNA", at positions 28 to 423 of the family's 1533-position model. The record is from RNAcentral.
GACGAACGCUGGCGGCGUGCUUAACACAUGCAAGUCGAGCGGUAAGGCCCUUUCGGGGGUACACGAGCGGCGAACGGGUGAGUAACACGUGGGUGACCUGCCCUUAGCUCUGGGAUAAGCCUGGGAAACUGGGUCUAAUACCGGAUAUGACCUCAUGACGCAUGUUGUGGGGUGGAAAGCCUUGUGCGGCUAGGGAUGGGCCCGCGGCCUAUCAGCUUGUUGGUGGGGUGAUGGCCACCAAGGCGACGACGGGUAGCCGGCCUGAGAGGGCGACCGGCCACACUGGGACUGAGACACGGCCCAGACUCCUACGGGAGGCAGCAGUGGGGAAUCUUGCGCAAUGGGCGAAAGCCUGACGCAGCGACGCCGCGUGGGCGAAGAAGGCCUUCGGUU